This 65-nucleotide transfer RNA is filed under the name Pythium insidiosum. Its description in RNAcentral is "tRNA-Lys". It matches the Rfam family "tRNA". Rfam says of the family: Transfer RNA (tRNA) molecules are approximately 80 nucleotides in length. Their secondary structure includes four short double-helical elements and three loops (D, anti-codon, and T loops). Further hydrogen bonds mediate the characteristic L-shaped molecular structure. tRNAs have two regions of fundamental functional importance: the anti-codon, which is responsible for specific mRNA codon recognition, and the 3' end, to which the tRNAs corresponding amino acid is attached (by aminoacyl-tRNA synthetases). tRNAs cope with the degeneracy of the genetic code in two manners: having more than one tRNA (with a specific anti-codon) for a particular amino acid; and 'wobble' base-pairing, i.e. permitting non-standard base-pairing at the 3rd anti-codon position. Lineage: Eukaryota; Oomycota; Peronosporomycetes; Pythiales; Pythiaceae. The record is from RNAcentral.
GCCCGUCUAGCUCAGUCGCUGGCCUUUUAAGCCAGUGGUCGUGGGGUCGAGCCCCACGGGGGGCG